UGAUUUACAGUUUUGAAAUUGUAGAGGGAGUUUUGUACAGACAUGGCAAUUUCUCUCAUUCGCGUGUUUAGUAAUGUCUAAUAAGAGUUUGGAAGAUAAACAAAUAAAACAUACAGAAAUUUCUCUAACAGAUAUUGAAAGGCUAUUAAAUGACGAAUUUUCAUGUAUAAAAUGUAUAAGAAAAGAGGUUCAUCUGUUUUUACUGCCUUCUUUCAUAGGUAAUGAAUUGAAUGGAGUCAAAGCUGUACUGGAUGAUUGGAAAAAUCGUUUCAAGAGAUUGUAAGCUUAUUUUGAUUUCUCAUUUCUUUUGCAGAAUAGUGUUUUACUUAAACUAUUAUUGGCAAAAUCCUAGUUAAGCUACAGCACGCGGAUCUAUGACGAUGCAAUCAAAUUUAGUUCUUACAAUUUUA
RNAcentral lists this long non-coding RNA (410 nucleotides) under Androctonus crassicauda. Lineage: Eukaryota; Metazoa; Arthropoda; Arachnida; Scorpiones; Buthidae. The record is from RNAcentral.